AAAUAGCCCCGAUAGUAGCGGAAAUCCUUUGCUUGGGCGAUAGCCAAGAGCAAAGAUUGCAGCGAAUAGCGGGACAUAGC
Molecule: small RNA, 80 nt
Filed under: Flavobacterium micromati
Lineage: Bacteria; Pseudomonadati; Bacteroidota; Flavobacteriia; Flavobacteriales; Flavobacteriaceae
Description: Flavo-1 RNA
Rfam family: Flavo-1 RNA
Source: Rfam by way of RNAcentral